This 184-nucleotide ribosomal RNA is filed under the name uncultured bacterium. RNAcentral describes it as "partial 16S ribosomal RNA". It matches the Rfam family "Bacterial small subunit ribosomal RNA", at positions 1315 to 1500 of the family's 1533-position model. The record is from RNAcentral.
CCUUCAUGAAGCCGGAAUUGCUAGUAAUGGCAGGUCAGCAUACUGCCGUGAAUACGUUCCCGGGCCUUGUACACACCGCCCGUCACACCAUGGGAGUUGGAGAUACCCGAAGCCUGUGAGCUAACAAACGAGGCAGCAGUCGAAGGUAGAAUCAAUGAUUGGGGUGAAGUCGUAACAAGGUACC